Molecule: long non-coding RNA, 749 nt
Filed under: Danio rerio (zebrafish)
Lineage: Eukaryota; Metazoa; Chordata; Actinopteri; Cypriniformes; Danionidae
Description: lncRNA si:ch211-136a14.2 (ENSDARG00000097610.2)
Source: RNAcentral
UUUUUUCCACACAAUCACCACCCACCCUGGACCACAUAAGUGCCAUUUGAGGGUCCUGAGAUGUCGACUGGGGCCCCCUCUCCCGAGGAGGCAAUUUGUUGACAGUUAACAGUGCUUCCCAUGAAAUGAGAGCCCAUGGUCUGGUUAUAACACACAGGGUGUGUAAUAGAGUGGUUAAUAAAAACCUUGUGGCUAAUAGGUGAGGGUUUAGCAUGGCCAAAUUUUACCCAAAAUAGAGCAUCACAUGUACCAUUUCUAAUGCCAAUCCGGUAUGGAUCGUAGUCAUCGACAAUUAUAUAUAUGGGUCCUGGUACCCUGAUCCUGCAAAACUGGCAAAACAUAUAGCAGCUGUUUUAUUCAUGGGUUUAGCAUAAAGAGGGGUUUGCUUGGCUGAAUGAGGCAUAACAGAACAUACAUAACAACCAGAUACAUUAUAUGACCUAGCUAAAACUUUCACAUAUUGAUACCACAUAUUAUUUCAAUUGGAUUGUCAGCCCCAUCCUCUGCCCAUCCAAAUUCAUGAUCAUGUGUCCAGCGUUUCAGCCUGGCUGCAUUAGCUUGAGCAACAAGAAAGAGAAACAGUCCAAUUGUCCGCAGCAAAAAGGAAGUCAUGCUGACCCUUGCCUUAAGGUAGACAGUGCUACGUGUUUAGCUCCCAUCUGUCUCCCAAACGCAAUUGUGCAGCUGUCGACCCGGAGACAUGAGAAGAGACCAAACUGUAGUUAGAAUGGUUUAUUCUGCAAGCCUGA